AUACAUUUAACUGCGAUAAGUAUUCACACAUUUAGAGAUGAAGUAAACUCACCUUGGUUCAGUUUCUAUUACUAAUACAUGUAGGUACACACCUCCAAAUCAGUCACAUUUGAUUUGAGCCGUGCCUUUCCCAGUGCCAAGUCACAAAGGCCAAUUAGAUAGCUCCUGCUAGGGAGAACAAUGGAUGGCAACAUUGAAGUGAGAGGUGAUUCGAGAGGCAGAGGAGUGAGAGGAAGAGGAGGAGGAGGAAAAGGAGACCGAGGAAGAGCAAGAAGGAGAGUCAUUAUCUCUGAUGAGAAAACCAUGGUUUGACCAUGCAGGAGGCUGGCCAGAGGGUUCAACCAAACAUAAGCCGCUUCUCAAAGAGCAAAUAGGUAAGAAACACUAGUAUGACAGGAAAA
Clupea harengus (Atlantic herring) is the source of this 401-nucleotide long non-coding RNA. The record is from Ensembl. Lineage: Eukaryota; Metazoa; Chordata; Actinopteri; Clupeiformes; Clupeidae.